AUGGGCUGCGUAAAGGGAGCCCGGGGAGCUCUGUCCGGCCCUUGGGUGACGCCAGGGCCUGUGUGGGGAGCGAGGGCAGGGCCUGCGGUGGGGUGGGGGCACGGGUGCCACCACAGAGGACGAUUCGUAAUGGGGGGGCUGUUCCUAGGGCCAGCAGCAGACAGCGGUGCUGCAGUUUGGCCUGAGCCACCGCUUUUUCAGACCUUGAAGUUUCCUUUAGGUUGAUAAGUGAAGUGCUGUAUUCGACAGAAGACGCAGAAGAGGGUAAAUCCAAAGAUUCCUGUGUCCAGAAAACAGACUAUUAAACCUGAGCCCGAAGCAACUGUACGUGUGAGAGGGAGAAGGUAUGGAGACUCGAUGAAGAUAGUCUUAACCUGUCACACUCCUUUUGGGGCUAUGUGUAAGCAGUUCUGCCAUGCUGUGAGUGGAGGGCUAACAGUUAAAAUGUCAUCUUAUCUAACAUGCUAUUAAAAAAUAUCUUUUUUUUGAAGCUCCUCAAGUGCACAAUUUCAGGCAGAUCUCACCUCACCUUUUAAUUUUAUAAUGGAUAAAUAUUUCUUGUAGAAAGCAAGGUAAAAAGAUAAAAGGCAACAUUCUAAAUGUAUUUAAGGCUGCCAUGUGAUAACAAAUCCCACUGGGAGUCUAGCAAUGCCAGGUCAAAAUACAGUAGCCAUAUGAAUUGCAGGGUGGAUCAGGUGUAAACUCGGGUUGCUAAACCACAGCUAUCUGAAAAUGCCAGAGUGAUAAUUCAUCCCGGCAGGUGUUGUACCAGAGCAGCUAUUGGUUAUCCUCUGGUGGGCAUACAUUUACACGGAUACAGCAGAAGUAGGGCUGCGUGUUCACACCCCACCUGGACUGCAUCUGUUUUCUGGGAGAUCGGGAGUUGCCCAAAGGUGGCAUUAACGAUUGUGAAACCACAGCUUUAAUCUCUGGGAAGAUCAGUGAGGCGGGGAGCUGUUGCACGGAAGCUCAAGAUGACAAGCUCAAGACAGCUACUGUGCCAGUCCGCGGAGAGAUUGCGGUCCCUAAACUAGACAUUAACAGCAGGCAGUCCAAAUUCCUGUCUCAAGGUAGAGGGAAGUGUUGUGGGUUAACCUCGGUAGAGAGCUAAGCACUACAUCACCGCUCGCUCGCUCCCCUCUUGCCCCCUGUGGGAUGCGGGAAGAGAAAAAGGAAGACUAAAACAGAAAAAAAAAAUCUGUGGGUUGAGAUAAAAAUUGUUUAA
RNAcentral lists this long non-coding RNA (1225 nucleotides) under Anser brachyrhynchus (Pink-footed goose). Its description in RNAcentral is "lncRNA (ENSABRG00000018421.1)". Lineage: Eukaryota; Metazoa; Chordata; Aves; Anseriformes; Anatidae. The record is from RNAcentral.